Molecule: unclassified non-coding RNA, 262 nt
Filed under: uncultured fungus
Lineage: Eukaryota; Fungi
Description: partial contains 5.8S rRNA and ITS2
Source: RNAcentral
AACGCACAUUGCGCCCGCUAGUAUUCUGGCGGGCAUGCCUGUCCGAGCGUCAUUUCAACCCUCAGGCCCUGGUUGCCUGGUGUUGGGGCGCCGCGUCCCCCAGCGGGCGCGGGCCCCGAAAGUCAGUGGCGGGCUCGCCAGGACUCCGAGCGCAGUAGUUUACACCUCGCUGCGGAGGGCCUGGCGGGUUUUACCCAGCCGUAAAACACCCCAAAUCUUAAAGGUUGACCUCGGAUCAGGUAGGAAUACCCGCUGAACUUAA